AUUAUACUCCCUCCGUUCCGAAUUACUUGUCGCCGGUAUGGAUGUAUCUAGAUGUAUUUUAGUUCUAGAUACAUCCAUUUCUGCGACGAGUAAUUUGGAAGGAGGGAGUAGUUU
This is a non-coding RNA of Triticum aestivum (bread wheat), 114 nucleotides long. The record is from Rfam. Lineage: Eukaryota; Viridiplantae; Streptophyta; Magnoliopsida; Poales; Poaceae.